Molecule: long non-coding RNA, 957 nt
Filed under: Gossypium barbadense (sea-island cotton)
Lineage: Eukaryota; Viridiplantae; Streptophyta; Magnoliopsida; Malvales; Malvaceae
Description: long non-coding RNA (GBAR_LNC004821)
Source: RNAcentral
CGAUUUUUGCUCUCCUCCAUAGCUGGGGUUUCUUUAACUUUCAAGCUUCAUAAUCAAGAAGAACGAAAUUCGGGAGUAGAUCGGGGAAAAGAAAAAGUAAAGGACUAAAUUGUAAAGUUUAGUCACAUUUUGUAUCAAGGUAAGUUACAGUAAAUAAAUGCAAUAUUCUUUUAUUUUACAUUAUUAUUGUCAAUUUCCAGCAUUUAUAUACUUAUGUUAUGAAAAUAUGUAAAGUCGAAUUUAAGGUGGAGUAACAGAGGAAAAGUGUUAGAAAGCCCCGGUUGAAUCCUAAGAAUGUUAGGAUAUUAGAGUUGACAGGACAGAACAGAAAUGAGCCAUGUAAGUCCAUAUUAGAAAUAUGGCUUUGGAGACAGGAUUGAGCCAUGUAAGUCCAUAUUAUAUAUGGCAUUGGAGACAGGAAUAAUUCAUGUAAGUCCAUGUCAAAGACAUGGCAUUGGCAGGAUAUUGAUAGACAGGAACGACCCUAGUAUCCUUAGUAUUUCGAGUGGUUCAACGGGUCAGGAUAUGAGUUAAAUUACAGUGAAUUAACAGCAAAGGAAAAGUAGAUUAUACUUAUAAAAAAAGAAAGGUCAGGUAAGAAAGAAGGUAAGGGAAUAAAGAAGAAGAUACAAAUUGAGAAGUAAAGAAAUUUAUGAUGUUAGAUGAUAUUAUGCAUAAUUAUCCAUUAUGUUGUUGUGAUUUAUUUGCUUGUAAGCUUACUAAGCCUAGUGCUUAAUCUCUUUAUUUUCUUCUUCUUAUAGUACUUAUCUAGUCACUCGGGGAUCGAAGGAAACGUCGGAGGCCGAUCACACUAUCAAAGAAAUAACUCGGUAUAACUAGACGUUUUGUUUUGGGUAUGGCAUGUAUAGAAACUUAGCUACUUUUGGUAUAAUAUGAACAAUGAAUGAUGUGUAAAUACUUGCUAGUGAUUAGCUAAUAAAAUAGCCGAUGAUAUAC